AGCAGAGGAUGAAGUCCAAGCAGCAA
This 26-nucleotide unclassified non-coding RNA is filed under the name Mus musculus (house mouse). Its description in RNAcentral is "oocyte_clustered_small_RNA4453". Lineage: Eukaryota; Metazoa; Chordata; Mammalia; Rodentia; Muridae. The record is from RNAcentral.